UACGGAAGGUGCAAGCGUUAUCCGGAAUCACUGGGUUUAAAGGGUGCGUAGGCGGAAAGAUAAGUCAGAAGUGAAAGCUCGUCGCUUAACGACGGAAUUGCUUUUGAUACUGUUUUUCUUGAAACAGGUUGAGGUUAGCGGAAUGUGGCAUGUAGCGGUGAAAUGCUUAGAUAUGCCAUAGAACACCGAUUGCGAAGGCAGCUAACUGGACCUUGUUUGACGCUGAGGCACGAAAGCGUGGGGAGCGAACAGG
Molecule: ribosomal RNA, 253 nt
Filed under: uncultured bacterium
Lineage: Bacteria
Description: partial 16S ribosomal RNA
Rfam family: Bacterial small subunit ribosomal RNA
Source: RNAcentral